UAUUACAAACUGAAUCCAAGAAAACAUAGAUGAAAUCAUAAAAUCGCAGAUUACACCAUAAACCCUAAAUCACAACAUCAAGGCUUAGAUCUUUCAAUCGAAGGCUCAGACCACACCCAUUUACCAUCACAGAGGCACCGGGACUCAAAACGAACCCUCACAACCCAACACACCAAGGUCACUUCACUGGACUCAAGAAAUCAAACUGCCUACCUUCGGUCGAUCACUCACACAAAGGAGAAUCACACAAGAACACGAUUAUCACAAAGAUAAUCAACCAGAAACCUCACAAAGAGAAGAAGGAAGGGUCACACAGACAAAAGGAACUCGAAGGUUCCAAAUGGCAGAGAGUAAGAAGAAAAACAGAAAGUGACGAUCCAAGAGCCAAACAGGGAGUAAGGAGGAUAUUUAUAGUAAAUAUAAUCAACCGUUGAUCAGCGGGUCAAUCCAACGGUCCAAGAGCGACUAAUGGUGUGUGGGCUGGAUAUUGGGCUCGGUUAAGUGGGCCUUCUAGGUAUAUAUUUAAUGGACCAAGUAAUAAAUCCAAUUUGGGCCUUUUCAUCAUUGCCUAACAGUUGGACUGGAUCAAAUGGCAUCACAGCCCAACAGAUCUCCACCUUGAUGCCAGUGAUCAUACAAGAAGCCUAAUAAAUGUAAAACACAAUUUAAAUGUCCUUCUCUAGAAGACAGCUUCCCAGCAUUCUCAACAAGCAUCAACUUUAGCACCUGUGCAGAACAAAACACUUAACCAGCAUCAAUGUUCAAAAUUUGUAAACAAGACUUAAAUUUGUUUAAAGGAAUUACCUUAGUACCUACAUCAGCUGGAUUAUACUGAGUUGCACUUUUCUCAAGUAAUAUAAGUUCUUUAGAAACAACAUCUCUAAUAAAAUGCAACUUAACAUCAAUAUGUUUUGUUCUUUUAUGAAAAACAGGGUUUUUACAUAGGUGAAUUGCACUUUGACUAUCAGAAUACAAGACAACAGGGUUACUCAAUUCAUUAAUUUCAGAUAAUAAGCCCUUAAGCCAUAAUGCUUCUUUUAUUGUUUCAGUUGCAGCAACAUACUCAGCUUCAGUAGUAGAUAAAGCAACAAUAGGUUGAAGUUGAGAUUUCCAACUAAUGCAUGUAUUACACAAAGUAAACAUAUAAGAAGUAGUAGAUUUCCUAUUGUCUCUAUCUUCGGCAAAAUCUGAAUCUACAAAACCCUUAAGUACAACACCUUCAUUACAAGCACUAAAGAUCAAACCAACAUGUGAAGAUCCUUUCAAGUAUCUCAACAGCCAUUUUAGAGCACCCCAAUGGUCUGGUCCUGGAUUAGCCAUAAAUCUACUAAGUGAGCUAAUAGAAUGAGCUACAUCAGACCUAGUACAUACCAUAGUGUACAUGACAGAACCUACGGCAUUAGCAUAAGGUACAUUUUCCAUUUGCCUAAUGUCAGAUUCACUUACAGGACAUUGCUCUUUACUAAGCUUAAAAUGGCUGGCCAAUGGAAGUGAAACAGAUUUAGAAUUAUGCAUGGCAAACUUAGUCAACAUCUUUUCAAUAUAUGCAGUUUGCUUCAAGUACAGUAUCCUACUGUGCCUUUUCCUCGUGAUUUCCAUACCUAAGAUUAUCUUUGCAUGUCCUAGGUCUUUCAUUUCAAAUUCAGCACUUAAAGACCGUUUUAUCUGGUUAAUAGCAUGCAUAUUCUGACCAAUCAGCAACAUAUCAUCCACAUAAAGAAGUAUAAAUGCAACAAUAGCAUUUUCAUCAUUUCUUUUAAAGUAAAGACAAUGGUCAUAUUCACUUCUUAUGAAACCAAUAGUAGAUACAAAAUUAUCAAACCUUUUGUACCAUUGUCGUGGAGAUUGCUUUAAACCAUAUAAUGAUCUUUUUAAUAGACACACAUGAUCAGAUUUAGUUUUAUCAAUAAAACCAGGUGGCUGUCUCAUAUAAAUCACUUCAUCUAGGUCACCAUGCAAGAAAGCAGUUUUCACAUCCAUUUGUUCAAGUUCAAAAUCAUAAUGAGCAACAAGGACAAGCAUAACUCUAAUUGUUGUAUACUUUAUCACAGGUGAAAAUAUCUCAUUAUAAUCUAUGCCCUCUUUUUGCGUAAAUCCUUUUGCUACAAGUCUAGCCUUAAAUCUUAUGGGUAUCUUUUCAGUAUUUCCCUCCUUAACACUAAAGAUCCACUUGCAAUCAACAAGGGUCUUACCUGCAGGUUUUGGAACUAAAAUCCAAGUCUCAUUUUUCAUUAAGGAGUCCAUUUCAUCUAUCAUAGCAGCAUGCCAGUUCUCAGACUGCUUGCAGCUCAUUGCCUCUUCAUAAGAUUUUGGUUCUUUAAACACUAGGUCAUGAUAGGACAAGACAGCAAGUGAAAGGUAAUCUCCAUACCUAACAGGCUCUCUUACUUCCCUCCUAGUCCUAUCUCUAGUUAAUUGGUAAUCUCCCAAUUCAUCAGGCUGACUUUCCAGAUUUUCUUGAACAUUUUCCUCUUCAUUUUCUUGAGGAUCAGAAGCUAUUUCAGCUUCUUCAUCUACCUGUUCAUCACUAACAGGUUCAGUAGGUAAACCAAGCUCCACCUGAAGCUUGGUACCAUCACCUCUUUCAUCACCAGGUACCCAUUUUGGUUCUUUAUUAUCUAAACAAGGCAUCUUUGACUCAUCAAAGGUAACAUCUCUACUGGUGAUGAUUCUAAAACCUUUUACUUCUUUACUCCAUAGCUUAUAACUUUUAACCCCAUCAGGAUAUCCCAAGAAAACACAUUUCUGGGCUCUAGGUUCAAGUUUUCCUAUACUUUGAUGGGAAUAGGCAGCACAACCAAAGAUUCUUAAAUGUGAAUAGUUAGGAACAUGUCCUGUCCAUAACUCUUCAGGGGUUUUAUCUCCUAGAGCACUUGAGGGGGUCCUAUUAACAAUAUAUGAGGCUGUCAUUACAGCUUCACCCCAUAACACCUUAGGGACACCUGAGCCUAUCAACAUGCACCUAACCUUAUCUAGCAAGGUUCUAUUCAUCCUCUCAGCCACUCCAUUCUGCUGAGGAGUAUAAGGUACAGUUUUAUGCCUUUUAAUACCAGAUUCUUUGUACAACUGAUCAAAUUCAGCAUUGCAAAACUCAAGGCCAUUAUCAGUCCUAAGGGUCUUAAUUUUCUUCCCAAUCUCAUUUUCCACCAGAAUCUUCCAAGUUCUGAAUUUAUCAAAUGUUUCAGAUUUGUGUUUCAACAAAUAAACCCAAACCUUCCUUGAAUAGUCAUCUAUCAAGGACAAGAAAUAUCUAUUUCCUCCUUGAGUAACAGUGGAUGAAGGCCCCCAUAAAUCAGCAUGUAUAUACUCAAGGAUAGAGGUGGUUCUAUGUUUUCCUGUGUUAAAAUGCAUCCUAUGCUGUUUUCCUAAGGUGCAAUUUUCACAAAAAGACACCUUAGAUAUAGAGUCCUUCUCACACACACCUUUCUUAUAAAGGAUGUGAAGGCCCUUUUCACCUACAUGGGCCAAUCUCUUGUGCCACUUUAAGGUAGCAUCAACUUCUACACUAGAAGACUCACCUAUGUGAUCAAAUACUGUACUAGCUUUGAUCACAUAAAUUCCAUUUCUUUUAACACCUUUAAAAAUAACAAGUGAUCCUUUUAUCACUUUCAAGAAGCCAUCUCCUAUUUUUCCUUGCAAUCCCAUAUCAUCUAGAUUCCCCAUGGAAAUCAGAUUCCUAUUCAAUUCAGGAACAUAUCUCACCCUUUCAAGAGUGCAAAUGUAUCCAUUAUCGAAUUUCAAAGUGACAUUCCCAACUCCCUCAACUCUGCAGGCUACAUUAUUGCCCAUAACUACUUCUCCUCCAUCAAUUUUCUUAAAAUUGUCUAAAUAUACCCUUUUAUAGGUCAUAUGAAAAGUGCAACCAGAAUCCAAGAUCCACUCUUGGUUCUGAUUCUCAUCAACAACAUUUGCAGAGCUAGGUAGAUUUUCAGUCACAGCAUAUACAUCAACUGUGGCAGAACCUUCAGAUUCUACCACAUUUCCUUCAUCAACACCCUUUUGUUUCUGUUCAUUUUUCUUCUUAUAACAGUCUUUAAUAAAAUGUCCAGAUUUCCCACACCCAUAACACUUCUUAGUCCUAGUCCUUGACUUAGACCUGCCUCUACUUUUAAAUUUUCUUCUACUGUUAUUUCCCUGAUUAUUAUGGCUUUCCUGAGUACCACUAGACCUACUUAAAGUCCUCCCCCUAGCAAACAAGUUCUCAUGGCCACUAUUACCUCUCUCAGACUUAAGUUCAAGUUCCUUACUCCUUAAAGAGUCUAUAACAAUAUCAGGUGUAAGAGUAUCUCUACCAUACUUAAUGGCGGCUUUAACCUCUUUGUAGGCUUCAGGUAUUGCAUUAAGUAGUACUACAGCCUUAUACUCAUCAGAAACUUUCUCACCUGUAUUAAUAAUGUCUUGAACUAACUUAUUAAAAAUAUCUAAGCUAUUCUCUAAGUCUCUAGUUGGAUCUAUCCUAAAGCUAAAAAAUUUCUCUAAUAGAAACAACUUAUUAGGUAAAGACUUAGGUAGGUAAAGUUUUUCUAAUUCAUCCCAUAAAGCCUUAGCAGUAUCAUGUUUGUCUACUUUUCUUAAAACUUGAUCAGAUAAAUGCAAAAUAAUGGAGGUAUAAACAAGUUCAUCAGAUUCUUCCUUUUGAUCAUCUGUCAUGGUAUCAGGAAAUUCAUCUGUUAUUGCUUUAGAAACCUUUUGCUGAACUAAAACACCUCUCAUUUUUUGUUGCCAAAUGGGAAAAUCCCCUUUUCCAUCAAAAACACCAAGUUCAAAAGAUUUUCUCAUGUUUUAUUUGUGAAGAACUAACACACAGUAAUUUUUUCACAAAUUAUAACAAAACAGAGAAUCAACUUUUGAAAACUGUUGAAAUUGACCUUCACAAAAAUUUAUGUUUUAGAUCACAUAAAGUAAUAUGCAGUCAAAGAAAAUGAGCCACAAUUAUUUUUAUUCACAAACAGUUUCAAUCAAUAGCAGGAACAUUAGGUAUUCUAAUAUAAACACCACAAGAAUCAGGAAAUACAACAAUGCAGGUAAAACAAUAUCUCAGAAUUAAAGAAUCAGUAUAUGCAGGACCUAGGGCUGAUCAAAUUCACCAGGAUUCCGUGAGAAUCAAGUUCUCAGGUCAAGGCUCAAUUUGAAUCACCCAAACUUAAUUGAUCACAAGCAACUAUUACAAGAUAUCGCAAACUAAUGUAACAGGUUACAAUGUACAGUAACUAAACAUAUCAACAUAGAGGCAUAUAUACAUAAGGGCAGUGUUUAGUGAGUGUGAGAUCAUAGGGGGUUCAAGAAAUGCAAACCGAGGAUGGUUAAACAAUUUAACCACCAGCUGAAAUCCAGAAGAAAUUAUUGCAGCAUGGAUAAAUUCACUGCAGGUCACCAAGGCACAAAACGUGCCCCUACAGAUUCAGUCUCCUCCAGUUUCAAGGCCUGGCAGCUCCAAUCAGUUAGGGUUCAAGCACAAAACAAGCCCACAGGAUCUCAGUAUUGUGAUUCAUUUUCAAAUCACAUCGAGGAAUCACAGAAACUCCCUCGCAUUCCACAGUCCAGAGUCGAAUCAACACCACAAACCACUAUGUCGACACAAAAUCAAAACUAGGGUUUCGCGAUCUCCGGUCGAACUCCUGAAAAUUAAUUUUCCAGUGUUCAACCUUCAAUCGAAGACUCACGACCGAAAGCCUAUAGCUCUGAUACCACUAUUACAAACUGAAUCCAAGAAAACAUAGAUGAAAUCAUAAAAUCGCAGAUUACACCAUAAACCCUAAAUCACAACAUCAAGGCUUAGAUCUUUCAAUCGAAGGCUCAGACCACACCCAUUUACCAUCACAGAGGCACCGGGACUCAAAACGAACCCUCACAACCCAACACACCAAGGUCACUUCACUGGACUCAAGAAAUCAAACUGCCUACCUUCGGUCGAUCACUCACACAAAGGAGAAUCACACAAGAACACGAUUAUCACAAGAUAAUCAACCAGAAACCUCACAAAGAGAAGAAGGAAGGGUCACACAGACAAAAGGAACUCGAAGGUUCCAAACGGC
Molecule: long non-coding RNA, 6035 nt
Filed under: Olea europaea (common olive)
Lineage: Eukaryota; Viridiplantae; Streptophyta; Magnoliopsida; Lamiales; Oleaceae
Description: long non-coding RNA (OEUR_LNC011749)
Source: RNAcentral